CAGCCCCGCAACGGGAAUCUGAAAACUAGGAUUCUCGUCCCAGCUCCACUGCUGCCUGCAGGGAGACCUCAGGCAGCAUGAGUCACUGUGGAGAGGUAAGAGCGUGCUAGAGGUGGACAGAUCCAACUUCAAGUCCAAGUAUGGCUUCUUACUUGCACGCCACUGGCCGAAGUGCUUUCUCCCUGGGCCUCAGUUUCCGUGUCUGCAUCUGCAACAAAGCUACAGAUUCCUGCCUGAGGGGCGUUGGGGGGUGGGCGGGACGUGCUAAAUGCACAAGCUGCUCUCAUAUCACACCGUAGAAUAUUUCUCGUGUUGCUCAAGAGCUCAGUAAACGUCAGCCGUUUAUGAGGAUGUCAUCAUAGCCAUCAUGUCCUCCCCAGCAGACCCUGUGGGAUUCUGAGCAAGCGACCUCACCUCUCUGGGCCUCAUUGUCCUUACCUGUAAAAUGAGGAGACUACGUGCACAGGCCUCAGUGGGUCCCGAGAAAUAGAAGACAUCGAGGCCCACCUGAGCAUACAGCUGAGAGUUGAGAAAAGGUUGGUUGUGGUGGUGAAGGGUGUAGAGCCCUGACUUCAAGCCUAGCCUCACUUCCUAGAGCCAUGUGACCUUGAGAAAGCCAUUUCUCCCAGCUGCGCUGGUUUUUCACUGGAAUUUACAGAUGACAGCGAUGUUCAUAGUACCACCUUCAUGGCCGGGUGGAAGAAUUAAAUAAGCCAUUGCAGAGAGUGUGCAUGUGGCCUCUGUUGGAAAUGUCUGAUUCUGUGGAGUGGGAGAGAACACAAGGAACAUCCCCAAGGCCUCAGAUGUCCUCAGCUUGCCUGUCCCCUGCCUCUGCUUGGGCUCAAGCAUAGCCUUCCAUGAGGGACUCCGGGAGAAGGAGGAUAGCACGCCCAAUCGGGCUUGCAAAGGAACACGCCCGGCCGGCAGCCACCCCCUGGGUGAGACCCCGUAGUGCCUACCGGCAGGAUGAAGGCUGUGAGUGGGGGCAGCCGGCUGGAGUACUUGUCGAUCCACUGCUCCAGCUCCAGGACGCACCCUGCCUCGAAUGUGGCGUGUCCUGAGGGGUGAAGCAGAAAGACACGGCCAUAACAUCCACGGCCUGCCAGACCAAGGAAACCACCCCUGCGUCCCUUCUGCCCAGGACAGCUGGGCCAAGACACCAAACAUGACAGUGCUUUCUAAACCACAAAGGACGAGCAUCUGGGAGAACGUGGUCAGCCCCUGCAUGACAACGAGCCACAGGCACCCGUGCCAAGGACACCUGCAACACCAUCUUGGACCCCGUGCCUAGCCAGAGUCCACUCAAGCUGCAUGGGGGGCUGUCGGGUGGGUGGAGGCCUGCGGCCUCUGUGAACACAGUCACAGUGACAGCUUGCCAGGAGCAGGACAUGACAGAGGAGAGCAGAGGCCGCCCACCCAGCAGUGGACCGGAACCCUCCUUGGGCUGCCACCUGGGUGAGUUACUUGAGUGAGUCUGGUGUCUCUGGGGCUUCCAGGGGGAGGCACGGUAACGAUAUUACCCCAGGGCUUGGCCUCCUACAGCGUCUGCCCCUAGGACUGGAGGGAGCUGGCACUGGUUUGGGACUAGGACCCCAGCUCUAGUUGAUUCCCAACCGGCAUCCCCAUGCAACAUGGACAAUGACCUCCAGCUCAAGUGCUUUUGUGAGGAGGGCAAGGCCCAGGCAGUGCUCCUGGGUAAAAAGUCACAGGCUGCACCCUCAGGGGGCCCUGGCCAGUGAGGAGACAGGUGGAUCAUACCACCUCACCACCUUGGUGGUGCCCGCGAGGGGCCAGGUGGGUAGCCCAGGCCCCAGAGGAAGUGAUGUUGAUGCUGUGAUCCAGAGGACAAGGGCCUCAAGCACAGGUCAGCUCAUCAUGUCACUGGCCCACCUUCCCAGACUUUUCCCUCUGCAAAUUCUGCUCAGAGAUAAGCACAUCUAGAAAUGACCACAGGGGAUAUGGGGAUAUGACCAUUUCUCCAUUGUGAGGCUACAGACUAUCCUCCAGUGCACAGAGGGGCCUUGUUCAUAGAAUGUUCCAGCAACUGAAGUCUCCCAUCCUUCUGCAGCCCCCUCACUACCCUCCGUCUGUUCCCAGGAGCCUAAGUGGGCUCUGGCCUGGCCUGGAGGACUACAGUGGGCUUAGGGCUGACCCGCAAGGAGCAGUUUCUAGUCUCGGCUCACCCUGUAGACUGUAACCUUGUCUUGCAUGUUCGGGGUGGGGGGUGUGUCCCUCCCACUGCCGAAGGCGUGUCUGGGGGCCAGGGCCUCUAUGCUUCCUAAGUUGGACAACACAAAUACUAACAGCCACAAAGUCCGAAGGUGGAGAGCUUACUGGCCUUCCUGGCUUUCUCCAGCCCAGAGGCUGCUGAUGUCCAGGCCCGGAGCACUCUCUGGUGUGGGGGUGUCCCAUGAACUGUGGGAUGUUACCUGCGUCCCUGGUCUCUGCCGCCUGGAUGACAGGAGCGCCCCCCCCUCCACUUGUAACCACCGAAAAUAACAAUAGAUGUUGCUGAGUGUCCUCUGGGAUGGGGCAGAAUUGCCCUGGGUCAAGUCCACUGCACGUGACACUUGCCCCCGGGUACUAGCCUCACCACCUGCCUGGGAGGGAGGAUGGUGUGUGUCCCUGUUUAGCAGGUGGAGAAACUAAGGCUCCCAGAGAAAGAGCGAUUAGCCCCAGGUGGCAGAGAGAGGAAGAGAUGGUCACAUGGCAAGUGCGGUCACGGCCGCCUGGCCGCACGGAUAAUAGUCCAGUGUGGGGUGAGACGGUAUUACUUACUUUCUGA
Molecule: long non-coding RNA, 2785 nt
Organism: Mustela erminea (ermine)
Lineage: Eukaryota; Metazoa; Chordata; Mammalia; Carnivora; Mustelidae
Exons: 4
Source: RefSeq, a predicted model, not a curated record